RNAcentral lists this ribosomal RNA (497 nucleotides) under uncultured fungus. RNAcentral's name for it is "eukaryotic LSU rRNA". The stretch from base 143 to 296 matches the Rfam family "5.8S ribosomal RNA". Lineage: Eukaryota; Fungi. The record is from RNAcentral.
UACAGAAAGUAAACGCGGAUCAAACCGCGAACUUCUAAACCUUUGACGAUCGACUCAUGUUGCCUCGGCGGGUGCUCCCGCCAGAGGAUACAUCAAAACUCAUGUUUUAACGGUGUUGUCUGAGCUACAAGCAACGAAUCAAAACUUUCAACAACGGAUCUCUUGGUUCUGGCAUCGAUGAAGAACGCAGCGAAAUGCGAUAAGUAGUGUGAAUUGCAGAAUUCAGUGAAUCAUCGAAUCUUUGAACGCACAUUGCGCCCCUUGGUAUCCCGAGGGGCAUGCCUGUUCGAGCGUCAUUUCACCACUCAAGCCUGGCUUGGUGUUGGGCGACGUCCCCUUUGGGGACGCGCCUCGAAACGCUCGGCGGCGUGGCACCGGCUUUAAGCGUANCANAAUCUUUCGCUUUGAAAGUCGGGGCCCCGUCUGCCGGAAGACCUACUCGCAAGGUUGACCUCGGAUCAGGCAGGGAUACCCGCUGAACUUAAGCAUAUCAAUAA